UGCGUAGGCGGAUUAAUAAGUCAGUGGUGAAAACCUGCAGCUUAACUGCAGACCUGCCAUUGAUACUGUUAGUCUUGAGUACGGUCAAGGUAGGCGGAAUGUGUAAUGUAGCGGUGAAAUGCUUAGAUAUUACACAGAACACCGAUUGCGAAGGCAGCUUACUGGGCCAUUACUGACGCUGAGGCACGAAAGCGUGGGGAGCGAACAGGAUUAGAUACCCUGGUAGUC
Molecule: ribosomal RNA, 228 nt
Filed under: uncultured bacterium
Lineage: Bacteria
Description: partial 16S ribosomal RNA
Rfam family: Bacterial small subunit ribosomal RNA
Source: RNAcentral